CUCCCAAUUUGGAGGUACUGUGGCUCAGUAAGGAAGAAGCCAUGGAAAUUGAGCAAGGAAAACUUCCUGUUGACCUCCAAGGAAUAAACUACAUCAAUUUGCACGGCUUUCUUGAUGAAUUAGACAUAUUUCCAUUUGGUUUCCAUUCAAAGGUGAUACUACACAGAAUUGAAAAGCUUCGGGUGGUUGAUAGUGCCUUCAAAGAGAUAUUCCCCUCUCAAAGGCCUCACAUAGCUCAUACUGAAAUCCUUUCACAGCUUAAAGGAUUGGAGCUUCAGAGUCUGUCCCAGCUUGAAUCAAUAGGGUUAGAGCAUUCCUGGGUUGGCCCAUUCCUUGAAAAUCUUGAAACAUUACUUGUUUCUGCAUGCAAUUGUUUGACAAACUUGAUUCCAUCAUCCACUUUGUCUUUCUGCAAUCUGACACAGCUUAAUGUAAAGGAUUGUGGUGGAUUGAAAUAUUUGUUCACAUCCUCAACCGCCAAAACAUGGCCUAAACUGAAGGAGAUGUGUGUAGCCAACUGUGAAUCAAUAAAAGAAAUAGUGUUAACAAAGGGCAAGGAACAAGCUAUAGAUGAUAUGAUAAUAUUCGAGCAGCUUAAGAUUUUGACUCUUAGCUCGUUGCCAGAACUUGAAUGCUUUUACUCGGGGAGUUCCUCUUUGCAUUUCCCAUCCUUGCAAGUAGUGUUGAUCACCCGUUGCCACAGCAUGAAAUGUUUCUGUUAUGCUGCCUAUGAUCAAACAUAUCAUGUGUCGAUGCUAAUAGACGGUGCAUGGUAUUUUGAAGGAGAUAUAAAUAAUAUAAUCAAAAAAAAAGUGGGAGAAUACAACAGAGGAUGCUGAUGAACAAUGAGUCAGUAUAAUGACAGAUUCCCAUGACUUGAAAAUUAUAGUUGUCUUGUUUUUCAAGAAGCAACAGAGCUGAAUACAUGGAAUGUUGGUUCAACGGGACUCAGUGCAAUUAGAUGAUAAGUGGAUAACAUCAUGACAACAACUAUUGGCAAAGUGAGGGCUUUUCUUUUCUUGUGGAGUGUUGUGCUCAUGAAUAAAGUUUACCUGUAUAUGCUUACAGGAAGUGUGCUUUUGAAGUUGCUGAAUAAAGCUGUCCUGUAUUUUUAUACAGGAGGUGAGGUGUGCUUAGGGAUUGAGAAGGAUCGGAAAUCUCUUGAAACGAUAAAAGUAACUUGUUCCACAAGUAAGCGUAUUGGUAAAGCUUCAAGAGGUGCCCAGAUUCCCGGUGAGUCCUCACUAGGCAGGGACACGACACGUGGCCGAGGCAGUUGACAGAUUGGAUUUGGAGUGGCUGUAGGCUACUACCUUUUUGGAGUGUUUGAUGUAUUUUAGUAUUUUCGCAUUUGAUGGAUCAUGAUAUUGAUCCUUUAUUGUGUAUAUGGCCUGUAUAUGUUUUGUACAUGUCUGUCGCUUUGAUGCAUGUACAUUUGGGUAUUCAGGCACGUUAUAUGAUGAGGUAGUAUUCAGAUAUGUUUAUGUGUUGGAUUGCAUGAUGUUAGAUAUAGUGGCACUGAGCCAAGUUAUGCAUGCGCCCAUGGAUGGGCAUUUGAUUAUAUUUGUAUAAACUGUUUAUCAGGAAUGCUUCUGUGAGGGAUUGGAAAAUCCCCAGUUGUCCGAUUUAUAGAGGAAACUCUGCCCGAUUUUCG
Gastrolobium bilobum is the source of this 1654-nucleotide long non-coding RNA. RefSeq lists it as uncharacterized. The record is from RefSeq and is a predicted model, not a curated record. The transcript has 5 exons. Lineage: Eukaryota; Viridiplantae; Streptophyta; Magnoliopsida; Fabales; Fabaceae.